Molecule: long non-coding RNA, 4972 nt
Filed under: Carassius auratus (goldfish)
Lineage: Eukaryota; Metazoa; Chordata; Actinopteri; Cypriniformes; Cyprinidae
Description: lncRNA (ENSCARG00000067171.1)
Source: RNAcentral
AUGCGACUGUUGGAGGGACUCCCGCUGCAUCCGAAGGGAGCUGCGGCUCUGCUGCACCGGAAGGGGGAGUCCCCCAUUGCGGGUUUAUGGAGGCACGGUUUUUUGCCUCUGAGGGUUCUCCCAGCCUCCGUAGGGGGUUCGCAACUCUGCAGCAGGAGUGCUGCCCCGGAGGGAAAAUGCAGAGCGACCUGGAGAGCCCGUGCAGUGUUCGACGAGAGCUGCGGCUCGCAACGUCUUACCAGCGAGCCCUCCAUGCCGCUUAUGGGAGGAGCACAAUGCCAGAUAUCAAGAAAUGAGGGACUCUUGCUGCCUCCGAAGGGAGCUGCGGCUCUGCUGCACCGGAAGGGAGAGUCCCUCUUGCGGCUGAGUACGAGGCGCAGUUUGUUGCAUCUGAUGGAGGGCUCUCACUGCGACUGAAGGGAGCCAGCGACUGUAUCCCAUCGGGAGGGAGAUCCCUGGCCGCCAUAGAGUAUGCAACAUAACUCGGACGGGGGGUUCACACUGCGACCGAAGGGAGCCGUGGGUCUGCUGCACCAGAAGGGAGAGCCCCGUCAGAUGCUAAAUAGGCAAUGAGAUUCGAGCCGCGGUUUGGCGCGUCGGAUGAAGGGCUCCUAAUGCAACCGAAGGGAGCCAGCGGCUGUACCCCAUCGGGAGGGAGAUCCCUAGCCAUCGUGGAGCAUGCAACAUAACUCAGAUGGGGGGUUCACACUGCGACCGAAGGGAGCUGUGGGUCUGCUGCACCGGAAGAGGAGCCCUAGUCCGAUGCUGAGAAGGCAAAGAGACGCGACUGUUGGAGGGACUCCCGCUGCAUCCGAAGGGAGCUGCGGCUCUGCUGCACCGGAAGGGGGAGUCCCCCAUUGCGGGUUUAUGGAGGCACGGUUUUUUGCCUCUGAGGGUUCUCCCAGCCUCCGUAGGGGGUUCGCAACUCUGCAGCAGGAGUGCUGCCCCGGAGGGGAGAGCCCUGAUUGACGCUAACUAGAAUACGACUGUUGGAGGGACUUUUGCUGCGUCCGAAGGGAGCUGCGGCUCUGCUGCACCGGAAAGGCGAGUCCCCCUUGCGAUGCGAGGCAUGGCUUGAUGCGUCUGAUGGAGGGCUCUCACUGCGACCGAAGGGAGCCAGCAGCUCUAUUCCCCCGGGAGGGAGAACCCUAUCCGCCCUUGAGCAUGCAACAUAACUCAGACGGGGGGUUCACCCUGCGACCGAAGGGAGCCGUGGGUCUGCUGCACCGGAAGGGAGAGCCCCAUCAGAUGCAGAAUAGGCAAGAAGAUUCGAGGAACGGUUUGAUGCAUCAGAUGGAGGGCUCCUGCUGCGACCGAAGGGAGCCAGCGGCUGUGUUCCCCCGGGAGGGAGAUCCCGGUCCGCCCUUGAGCAUGCAACAUAACUCAGACGGGGGGUUCACCCUGCGACCGAAGGGAGCCGUGGGUCUGCUGCACCGGUAGGGGAGCCCCGUCCGAUACGGAGUAGGCAAGAAAACGCGACUGAUGGAGGGACUCUCGCUGCGUCCGAAGGGAGCUGCGGCUCUGCUGCACCGGAAGGGAGAGUCCCCCUUGCGACUGUAUAAGCGGCUUAAUUUGAUGCAUCGGAUGGAGGGCUGUCACAACGACCGAAGGGGGCCUGUGGCUCUGCUGCACCGGGAGGGAUACCCCCAUCUGCCGCUGAGCGCGCAGCGCAACUCAAUGACAGAUGAAAGGCUCACACUGCGACCGAAGGGAGCCACUGCCCGGCUGCACCGGAAGGGAGAGCCCUGUCCGAUGCUGAAAUAGGCAAGGAGAUUGUAACGAUGGCUGGAGGGCCCUUACUUUGGCCGAAGAAACGAUAACUGAGAGGCUUCUAUUAUUCAAGUACACAACAUGAUUUAAGGAGGAAUAUAUAAUUUUUUUUUUUUUUUGAAUGAAUUAAUCAAAAUAGGUAAUUGCACUUACAUCCGAUUCACGAAUUAAUAUCUCUAAAUAUUAAGACGGAACAGUGUUUAAAUGUAAAUCCUGCAUGUUCUGUGUGUCUCUGUUAAUGAAUGGAGCAGGAGCGCGACUUCCUUUUUCACACACACACUGAAGCGCGCAUUACUCUCGCGGUAAUUUCUGCGUCUGCUGUCUCACUAAAUGAGGACUUGAACACAUGAACAACAUCUCCAGAACUGCUCUGACAGUCAGUUCAUGAGCAUUUGACUUUAAGUAAAACUAGCGUCACAUCACAUACACAGAACUGAAAAGGUACGUCAACCCGACUAAAUAAAGGUCCGGGGUCCUGACAUUUUAUCCUACCCAUCAGAUUUACUGUGCAUGCGCACAUCAGUAUAAUUAAGCAACAACACAUUUUGUUACUCGAUUAAUUUUUUUUUUUUUUUUUUUUUAAACCAGAGUCGUUGAUGAAAUGAGGGUCCAUCGUGAAUUUAGAUUGGGCGUUCCGGAGUUAGACAAAAGCGAGCCUGAUGAGGUUGAAUUGGAGAAUGGACAUAAAAUAUAUAUUUUUAUUUAUUUAUUUAUUUAUUUAUUUAUUUUUGAGGCUCUUGCGGCAGCGAGAAUUGCGGCAGUAGGGAAGGAUGGAAAGGGCUCCUGCGGGAGCAGACACUGCUAUGGCAGUGGUGAAAUAUAGGUAGAGGCUCCUGCGGGAGCAGACACUGCUGCGGCAGUGGUGAAAAAACAGAAAAGGCUCCUGCAGGAGCGGACAAUACUGCGGCGAUGGGGAGAUAUAGAGAAGGCUCCUGCGGGAGCGGACAAUGCUGCGGCGGUGGGGAGAUACAGAGAAAGCUCCUGCGGAAGGAUGGCUGAAGUGAGGAUUGACCAUUACAGAUAGAUAGGGCAUGUUAGGAGAGUUAGCUAUGGUAGAUUAGGAGUUUUAGUGAAAGGGGAUGAGCUGGCGUUAGAGGGUUGGCUGAAGAGGGUUCGAGAUAGAUAUAUAAAUAAAAUAAUCGGCCUGACCAAUAAUAGGUCUUGGUACCCUCUGCCUUCUGGCAAAUCUGGAGCUGGAGGCCACUGAACAGAAAAAUGGUUAGUAGCAUGAGGGAGCGGAAGAGUUGAGGGCGCGUUUACGAAUGGAGGCGGCCUCACGUUUGCUUCAGCUGCUGUAGCUGUGGGUCGUGGGAAGGGGCUGGGGUGUGUGAUGUCUUGAAGAACCUGUGUAGCCUGCACUGCUAGCAGAAGUAACAGGAUGAAAAUACUGAGAUGUGCAGGCCCGUGUUGCAAGUAAAAGUAGCUUCAUGCUUGCUUUGGCUGCUGUAGUUGUUGGCUGAUUUGACAAUUGCUCAAACCUUGUCUGAAUUAAUACAAUCCUGUUGGAAAAGCAUCUUUUCCUCUUGUUUUGGCCUUCGGGCCCUUUUUAAACAGCCUCCGGAGCAGAUAAAUUUGGGAUGCUGUUUUCCUGUUGUAGUAUGGACUGUGAAAAUAGAGGCUUUGAAACAAUGUAGCAUGUUUAGUUUUAUAAACCAUUGUACCAAUAGACAUGUCUAUAGCAGUAACGUUAAUUGCAGUAAUUCAAAUUCAAGCCGUUUCUAAAGACAUUUACUUUGCAUGCUUUUCAUAUAACAGUCCUAAAAAGACGAUAGAAAAUUUACUCACACUUGUUGUUCUGCAGCCAAACACGAGGCAGUAGCGUGAAAAAUUCUGAAUAAUCAUGCCAGUAAAUGGUGAAAUAUGUCCCUAAAUAAUUGAUCCUGCCGGAAUAAUUGCAUGAAACUUAUGUCUGUAUCAUCUCAGUGAGGUUUAAACAUGCACAGUAAAGCAAAUGUAAUGUCUUUAGACAUUUCGGUGUGGAUGACAACUCUGCAAAAAGCCUUUGCUUCGUGGUUAAAAAGUGGCAUCGUCAUCGGACAGAGUUAAGUCAUAACGCCGUUUAACAAAUUUUUGCGUCUUCAUAAGCGCAUUCUAUAUAUAACGUCUAUUUAAAUUGUUCAGAUGAGCAAAUCACGAGGUUUUCUUGCAUGAUUAGCAUUUUAAUUGUUUGGUCAGACGGUUCAUAUAUUGAUCUAUAUAUUCACGAUCAUAAAUCGGGGAUUAAACGUGGAAUUUAUCUUUUGUAUGCUAAAUAUGUAAACAAUAUGUGCACAGUACCUAUAACUGCGCUUUACAUUUUGCAAGAUUGACAUGCUAAAUGGCUAACUGACCCGGUUUACUCUCAUCUUAACAAAAUUGAUAAGAGUUCCUUGCGUUUACGAACGACAUGUAUCUGUUUAAUCAACUCGACAUGUAUACCGGUUUAGUCCUUUCGUUCACGAAUGAGAGCUCUCGAUCUCUGAGACUCAUAUGAAACUCGCUCAUUGUGGAUGACAACUCUGAAAAAUUCUUCAUGAAUGAGUGUAAACGGAGAACGAUUCGUUCGCCUAGAAGAUUCAUUCGAAAAAAACGAUUCUUUCACGAACGACAUGCCACUACAACAACGCACGGUCUUCGCCGCUAGUGGAGGCAGCAUCGAACUGCGACACGGCAGAAAAAGCGAGAGAGGUUUACUGCGGGGAGAACUGGAGCACGGCUGCGAUCCAGCAUUAUAAUAGAGCCCGGUCCUGGCGAGAAAAUCGUGUUGCCGAGUGAGGCGAGCUCAAGGAUUUGCACGAGCUUUUGGCCACAACGUGUGGCUUGGCGAGAAGAGCAGCUGACCGAUGACGCUUGUUGGUGUUCGGCGGAUAGAUAUCUUCGUCGGAAGGAAGAUUGGGCCUGUGAUAAGAUGACGGACAGCGCGAACCGAAUGCUGACAGAGCGAACCGAAUGCUGACAGACGGUCUAUGCCGAAAAACUGUCGUGGGACAGGAGGUAGGAAGACUGGAUAUAUAUACGCGUGCGUGCUAUAAGAUGAUUAGCUAAACGAGAUGCACCUGUACCAAAUUGGAUGAUUAUCUGAUCGUGCUUCUCCCGAACUUUGUUAAUAAAACCACAUUAAUCCAACCAAUGGCCAAGACCACCGCUAAAACAUUUAAAAUUUAUUUAGCGAAGGAGUUAUGAUAUCUAAAGCAUACAAAUGUCAAAUCAAAUAAAUAUAUAG